This 306-nucleotide unclassified non-coding RNA is filed under the name Hevea brasiliensis (rubber tree). The record is from RNAcentral. Lineage: Eukaryota; Viridiplantae; Streptophyta; Magnoliopsida; Malpighiales; Euphorbiaceae.
GGGAAUCCUACAGUUGUUACGGAGGUAUCCGGGGAGACUGCCAGAUUUGGAGAUGAUGUUUGAUUGCGUAGACUGGCCGGUUAUCAAGUCCGUUGAUUAUAGUGGGCCAGACGCGCCUGCCCCACCGCCUCUGUUUCGCUAUUGCGGGAACGAUGACACAUUGGACAUUGUUUUCCCUGAUUGGUCCUUCUGGGGAUGGCAAGACAUGUUAACUUUUCAUCUUCAAUUAAUUUUUUCAAUACAUGAAUGCGCCAAAUGCAGGAGUUAACAGAUUAUUCUACAGGGCUGAGACGAAUAUAAAGCCAU